Molecule: ribosomal RNA, 635 nt
Filed under: uncultured Actinomycetes bacterium
Lineage: Bacteria; Bacillati; Actinomycetota; Actinomycetes
Description: bacterial SSU rRNA
Rfam family: Bacterial small subunit ribosomal RNA
Source: RNAcentral
CGCCUGGGGAGUACGGGUGAGGUAACGGCUCACCAAGGCAUCGACGGGUAGCUGGUCUGAGAGGAUGAUCAGCCACACUGGGACUGAGACACGGCCCAGACUCCUACGGGAGGCAGCAGUAGGGAAUAUUGCACAAUGGGCGAAAGCCUGAUGCAGCAACGCCGCGUGCGGGAAGAAGGCCCUAGGGUUGUAAACCGCUUUCAGCAGGGAAGAAAAUGACGGUACCUGCAGAAGAAGGUGCGGCCAACUACGUGCCAGCAGCCGCGGUGACACGUAGGCACCAAGCGUUGUCCGGAUUUAUUGGGCGUAAAGAGCUCGUAGGCGGUUCAGUUGGUCGGGUGUGAAAACUCUGGGCUCAACCCAGAGACGCCACUCGAUACUGCUGUGACUAGAGUGCGGUAGGGGAGCGGGGAAUUCCUAGUGUAGCGGUGAAAUGCGCAGAUAUUAGGAGGAACACCAGUGGCGAAGGCGCCGCUCUGGGCCGUAACUGACGCUGAGGAGCGAAAGCGUGGGUAGCAAACAGGAUUAGAUACCCUGGUAGUCCACGCCGUAAACGUUGGGCACUAGGUGUGGGUCUCAACCAACGAGAUCCACGCCGUCGCUAACGCAUUAAGUGCCCCGCCUGGGGAGUACGG